UAACGUUGUUGCAGUUAAAAAGCUCGUAGUUGAAUUUCGGGGUCAGCAGGUUGGUCGUGCCACUGGUAUGCACUGGUCUCGCUGAUUCCUCCCUCUUGUAGAACCGUAAUGCCAUUAAGUUGGUGUUGUGGGGAAACAGGACUGUUACUUUGAAAAAAUUAGAGUGUUUAAAGCAUGCUAACGCUUGAAUACAUUAGCAUGGAAUAAUGAAAUAGNACGAUCUAUCCUAUUUUGUUGGUUUCUAGGGUUGACGUAAUGAUUAAUAGGG
This 268-nucleotide ribosomal RNA is filed under the name uncultured Glomus. Its description in RNAcentral is "partial small subunit ribosomal RNA". It matches the Rfam family "Eukaryotic small subunit ribosomal RNA", at positions 605 to 877 of the family's 1831-position model. Lineage: Eukaryota; Fungi; Glomeromycota; Glomeromycetes; Glomerales; Glomeraceae. The record is from RNAcentral.